AACCAUUCUCACCUGCGGCUAGACCUGCGGAGGGAUCAUUACCGAGUGUGGCCCCCUUUCUAUAAUAAGAGGGGUACCUCCCGUCCUUUGCAGGCCCUUUUAGGGGCUUUUUGACUUUACUUCGGUGGGGUUACCCCGCCGGAAUACCCUCAACAAAAUCUUUUUAUGAACUUUGUUGUCUGAGUUGCUUGCGAAUAAAAUCAAAACUUUCAACAAUGGAUCUCAGAUCGGAAGAGCACA
Molecule: unclassified non-coding RNA, 240 nt
Filed under: soil metagenome
Description: partial contains 5.8S ribosomal RNA, internal transcribed spacer 2, and large subunit ribosomal RNA
Source: RNAcentral